GGUUGGGUGAGAACUGGACGUGCUGCAUUCAUUAUCAAGCAGACCCAUCCCCAGCAACGUCAACCUAAAGAAGGAAAGGCCAGUUUGCAUUUCCUUCACUUUCGAAGGUCACUGAGAUCAUAACGUAAAACAUGUCAUGCGACGGGGUAAAGGUUAAUUGGGUGAGGACGACACGUGUUGCAUCAUUAUCAAGCAGGUACAAAAGCCGCAAGGCUUAAGAGGUGGGUCAGGGUGAGAAAAAGUCGUUUAAAAGGCGAGAGAAAAGGCGUUUGAAAUUAGUUGAUAGAGCAUCUCCGACACGACAGCAACUGCAGCGUACUAAAUCGCAAUUAUAAUUGCUUAAAAGGAGAGAAAAGGCGAAAUAGUCAGUCGAGUGAUUAUCUCCUACACGACAACAACUUCCGUGCACUGUUUGUCACCAACUGCCUUCUUCAUCAUAUAUAGGUAAACUGUGGCGUCGUGAUGCUGUUGGUUGUUGUCCUCAAAUACUGCACCACCGAGGCUUCGAAGUAUUACAUUACAACUUAUGCUGCCCCGAGCUUCAUCACUAAAAAGCACGAACCGAUCCCCGGCAACGUCAACCUGCAGAAGGGAAGGCCAGUUUGCAUGUCAUUCACUUUCGAAGGUCACAGAGAUCAUUACGUAAAACUGUCAAUGCGGUGGUGUAGAGGUUGGGUGAGAGUGGGAAGUGUUUGCUUUGCUUUAUUAUCAAGCAGGUUUAAUAGUCGCAGGGCGUAAGAGAGGGGUCAGGGUGAGAAAAAGUCGUAUAAAUGGCAAGAGAAAAAGCCACGGAACUCAGUCGAGUGAGCAUCUCCGACACGGUAACAACUGCCGUGCACUAUUUGUCACCAACUACCUUCUUCAUCGCAUUAACAGUUCGAAAUCAUGUUUAGAUAACUAUGACGCCAUGCUGCUGGUUGGGUCGACCACGGGUGUACAGACGUCUCCUGGACAUGGUGGAUACCAAGCAACAGCAGCGAAGAAAUAGUACACCACGCCGCCACCUAACCUAACAAAACAAGUCAACAUACACAACAUCUACUUACUACGCCGAGACUCUGAAGUGCUACACCACCAAGACUCCCAGAGUUACGCGACAAAUUACGCUGCCCCGAGUUGCAUCACCAAAGCGCCCGAGUACUACACCACCGAGUAUACUGUCCCAGCCUACUACACCGAAGUCCCCAAGUACUACACGACUAUGAAUGCAGCCCCAGCCUACUACACCGAGGCUCCAGCUUAAUUCAAUACUAAAGCAGUCGAGUACUAUGUCGAACCGCACAAGUACUACUCUGCCCCGAACUACUCCACUACAACUGAGGCGGUGAAGUACUACGUAGCCCAGACUUACAACACAGCAGCUGCUCCUUCGUACUACGUUGAACUGAAUGAUUGCACCAAAGCUCCAGUUUACUACACAACCUACGCUACACCUAGAUACUAUGACGAAGUCCCCAACUACUACACCGAAGAGGCCACAUAUUACACAACCAGAUACACUGCCCCAGUUUCCUACACUGAGGAACCCAAGUAUUACUCUGCUCCAAGCUACUACAAAACUGAGGCUCCUGUUUAAUUCACCAAGCCACCGAGUAUUAAAGUUAAUUAUGGCGUGGUGCCGUGUUGGUUGUUGUAUCCUUGGUGGUUGGGUCAACCACUAGUGUACCGAUGUUUCGUGGUUAUAGUGGAUUCCAAACCACAUCGCCGCUGUCUUACUGCACGACAAAAACAUACGCAUCAUCCAGAUAUUGAACCACCAGGGCCCCAGAGUAGUACACCAAAACUUAUGAUGUCCUGAACUACUACACCGAAGCCCCAAAAAUAACUGCUCUAAGUUACACCACGAAGGCAGCGGAGUACUACACCACGAAGGCAGCGGAGUACUACACUACGAAGGCAGCGGAGUACUACA
Molecule: long non-coding RNA, 1912 nt
Filed under: Daphnia pulicaria
Lineage: Eukaryota; Metazoa; Arthropoda; Branchiopoda; Diplostraca; Daphniidae
Description: uncharacterized LOC124350341
Source: RNAcentral